RNAcentral lists this ribosomal RNA (465 nucleotides) under Vreelandella stevensii. RNAcentral describes it as "partial 16S ribosomal RNA". It matches the Rfam family "Bacterial small subunit ribosomal RNA", at positions 338 to 795 of the family's 1533-position model. Lineage: Bacteria; Pseudomonadati; Pseudomonadota; Gammaproteobacteria; Oceanospirillales; Halomonadaceae. The record is from RNAcentral.
CCUACGGGUGGCUGCAGUGGGGAAUAUUGGACAAUGGGCGAAAGCCUGAUCCAGCCAUGCCGCGUGUGUGAAGAAGGCCUUCGGGUUGUAAAGCACUUUCAGUGGGGAAGAAAGCCUUGGGGCUAAUACCCUCGAGGAAGGACAUCACCCACAGAAGAAGCACCGGCUAACUCCGUGCCAGCAGCCGCGGUAAUACGGAGGGUGCGAGCGUUAAUCGGAAUUACUGGGCGUAAAGCGCGCGUAGGCGGUCUGAUAAGCCGGUUGUGAAAGCCCCGGGCUCAAACUGGGAACGGCAUCCGGAACUGUCAGGCUAGAGUGCAGGAGAGGAAGGUAGAAUUCCCGGUGUAGCGGUGAAAUGCGUAGAGAUCGGGAGGAAUACCAGUGGCGAAGGCGGCCUUCUGGACUGACACUGACGCUGAGGUGCGAAAGCGUGGGUAGCAAACAGGAUUAGAUACCCUGGUAGUC